CCUACGGGGGGCUGCAGUGGGGAAUAUUGGACAAUGGGCGAAAGCCUGAUCCAGCCAUGCCGCGUGUGUGAAGAAGGCCUUCGGGUUGUAAAGCACUUUCAGUGGGGAAGAAAGCCUUGGGGCUAAUACCCUCGAGGAAGGACAUCACCCACAGAAGAAGCACCGGCUAACUCCGUGCCAGCAGCCGCGGUAAUACGGAGGGUGCGAGCGUUAAUCGGAAUUACUGGGCGUAAAGCGCGCGUAGGCGGUCUGAUAAGCCGGUUGUGAAAGCCCCGGGCUCAACCUGGGAACGGCAUCCGGAACUGUCAGGCUAGAGUGCAGGAGAGGAAGGUAGAAUUCCAGGUGUAGCGGUGAAAUGCGUAGAGAUCGGGAGGAAUACCAGUGGCGAAGGCGGCCUUCUGGACUGACACUGACGCUGAGGUGCGAAAGCGUGGGUAGCAAACAGGAUUAGAUACCCCAGUAGUC
RNAcentral lists this ribosomal RNA (465 nucleotides) under Vreelandella stevensii. RNAcentral describes it as "partial 16S ribosomal RNA". It matches the Rfam family "Bacterial small subunit ribosomal RNA", at positions 338 to 795 of the family's 1533-position model. Lineage: Bacteria; Pseudomonadati; Pseudomonadota; Gammaproteobacteria; Oceanospirillales; Halomonadaceae. The record is from RNAcentral.